Molecule: ribosomal RNA, 519 nt
Filed under: uncultured eukaryote
Lineage: Eukaryota
Description: SSU rRNA
Rfam family: Eukaryotic small subunit ribosomal RNA
Source: RNAcentral
AGGGCACUACCAGGAGUGGAUCCUGCGGCUCAAUUUGACUCAACACGGGAAAGCUCACCUGGUCCGGACACUGGAAGGAUUGACAGAUUAAGAGCUCUUUCUUGAUUCAGUGGGUGGUGGUGCAUGGCCGUUCUUAGUUGGUGGAGCGAUUUGUCUGGUUAAUUCCGAUAACGAACGAGACUCUAGCCUACUAAAUAGGUGUUCCGAUCCCAUCAGUCGGACGCUCUUCUUAGAGGGACAAGCGGCGUUUAGCCGCACGAGACAGAGCAAUAACAGGUCUGUGAUGCCCUUAGAUGUCCGGGGCCGCACGCGCGCUACACUGAAGGAACCAGCGUGUGUCCCCGUCCGGCAGGACUGGGUAAUCCGUUGAACCUCCUUCGUGAUAGGGAUAGGGGCUUGUAAUUGUUCCCCUUGAACGAGGAAUUCCCAGUAAGCGUGAAUCAUCAGUUCACGUUGAUUACGUCCCUGGCCUUUGUACACACCGCCCGUCGCUACUACUGAUUGGAUGAUUUAGUGAGG